This 901-nucleotide ribosomal RNA is filed under the name Halomonas sp. JSM 077035. RNAcentral describes it as "bacterial SSU rRNA". It matches the Rfam family "Bacterial small subunit ribosomal RNA", at positions 58 to 950 of the family's 1533-position model. Lineage: Bacteria; Pseudomonadati; Pseudomonadota; Gammaproteobacteria; Oceanospirillales; Halomonadaceae. The record is from RNAcentral.
CAAGUCGAGCGGAAACGAUCCUAGCUUGCUAGGAGGCGUCGAGCGGCGGACGGGUGAGUAAUGCAUAGGAAUCUACCCGGUAGUGGGGGAUAACCUGGGGAAACCCAGGCUAAUACCGCAUACGUCCUACGGGAGAAAGCAGGGGAUCUUCGGACCUUGCGCUAUCGGAUGAGCCUAUGUCGGAUUAGCUAGUUGGUGAGGUAACGGCUCACCAAGGCUGCGAUCCGUAGCUGGUCUGAGAGGAUGAUCAGCCACAUCGGGACUGAGACACGGCCCGAACUCCUACGGGAGGCAGCAGUGGGGAAUAUUGGACAAUGGGCGAAAGCCUGAUCCAGCCAUGCCGCGUGUGUGAAGAAGGCCUUCGGGUUGUAAAGCACUUUCAGUGAGGAAGAAAGCCUUGAGGCUAAUACCCUCGAGGGAGGACAUCACUCACAGAAGAAGCACCGGCUAACUCCGUGCCAGCAGCCGCGGUAAUACGGAGGGUGCGAGCGUUAAUCGGAAUUACUGGGCGUAAAGCGCGCGUAGGCGGCUUGAUAAGCCGGUUGUGAAAGCCCCGGGCUCAACCUGGGAACGGCAUCCGGAACUGUCAGGCUAGAGUGCAGGAGAGGAAGGUAGAAUUCCCGGUGUAGCGGUGAAAUGCGUAGAGAUCGGGAGGAAUACCAGUGGCGAAGGCGGCCUUCUGGACUGACACUGACGCUGAGGUGCGAAAGCGUGGGUAGCAAACAGGAUUAGAUACCCUGGUAGUCCACGCCGUAAACGAUGUCGACUAGCCGUUGGGCUCCUUGAGAGCUUUGUGGCGCAGUUAACGCGAUAAGUCGACCGCCUGGGGAGUACGGCCGCAAGGUUAAAACUCAAAUGAAUUGACGGGGGCCCGCACAAGCGGUGGAGCAUGUGGUUUAAU